RNAcentral lists this long non-coding RNA (2790 nucleotides) under Malus domestica (apple). RNAcentral describes it as "long non-coding RNA (MDOM_LNC008747)". Lineage: Eukaryota; Viridiplantae; Streptophyta; Magnoliopsida; Rosales; Rosaceae. The record is from RNAcentral.
UCUACACUCACAAUGUUUGUCAGCUCGCUAUAUAAUCAACUUGAUAAUGUUAAAUCCAUCAUGCAAUGCAUUUCAUUCCAAUUUUUUGUGACAAACUAAUAGAUAAUUGACUAAAUAAACAUCCUGCAAAGUUUCAAUAAAAAUUUCCAAGUUUUUCUUACAAUUUCCGUGGUUUCCAUGUAAUUUUUAUCGAUAUCGAUAUUAUCCUGAUAUUUCCAUCGAUAUUUCCGUGUUUUCGAACUACCGAUAUUUCCGAUAUUAUCGAUAUUUUCUUCCUUGGGUAAAGCCAACAAACCAAAUAAAUAGAUAACAAAUUGGGAAGGCUAAACAGACCCAGUAGAUAAAAAAAAGACAGUAAGCAUAACCCUAAUUCCUAUCUUACAAUGGCGGCAGAAUGUUGUUGCCACCGCCAUGAACGCCUUGCCAGCAGCCACCAAGGCAGCUGCAGUGGAGAAAUUAACAAAGUGUUGACCAAGGCUUCGCAACGCAAAAGUUUCAAACUCGCAGCAGCAAAACAAAUCCCAACCUAAGCUCAACAUUAGAACCGCUACACUAAGGGAGAGCCACCAGAUCCAAAACACCUUCACAUAAAUGAGAUUGUUUAAUAUAAUUAGUUGUAAUUUAUUUUAUCAAGUUUUUGUUAAAAAAAUUGCAUUCUUCAACAAUUUCGAUGUUUGGAUAUGUUGAGAUGUGGUAACCAGAAGAUACACUAUAUUUUCAUUCCUUUAUGAUCUGAGAUAGCAAAAUCACUAAUGCAUAUUGGUUUCCCUACAAUGUCAAACGUUUUGUAUAAGAGAGUGAAUUCGUCAUGUCUUUGAGUCUUUUUCAUCAAUGACAUGUUUUAGUUGUAAGUGAACUGCCCAACUGAAAGCCUGUAUCCCACAUCUUGAUACAAGUUGAGACUAAAUUAAACUAAGCAUUCCCUCAAGUCAAAUAACAUGUAAAGAAUAUUUACAUGCGCUGAACAUUUGGCUGCCUGUCAAACAAAGUUGGCAUCCUUUUGUAUAUAUAUGUUUUAUAAACCCAUUGAAGAUCAUGGUCCACAUGCAUAUGUUGUAUCUUUGACAAAGACAAUAGGGGGAGGAAAAGGGAAACCCUAAGCUGGCAUCGGAAGAAGAGAAAAUUCCUUGUCUCAAGGAGAUUGUUUUGUUCCUUACCUUGAACCUCUCACUUUCUUUUUGGUCCGAAUCAACAUCUAUUUAUUACACAACAGAUCAUAUCUCUCUCUAUAUAUCCAAUAAUUAAGAUCUAUAUUGAGGCUUAUUUUCAGUUACGACACAUGUACCUUUAUAUGUUAUGUUAUCUUUCUUUACCACUUGCACUGUUUUUUAGUGUCCCACUUUACCCUCUAUACCAUAUUAUCUCACUUUAACUUUUUCUUCCUCAAUGUUUUACUUUACCCUAUUUCGGCAAAUAAGUUAAGAGAGUCGUUAAUUACAUUGAGGUGACAAGGACAAUUUAAUCUUUUCAACUACGUUGGUUGUGCGGUAUGUGAGAUGUUAGUGGAACCCAUGGUUAAUGGAGGUGGAUUAAGCUCAUGCUAGGGUUUCAUUUCUGUAGAUUAAAAGAAAAAUAUAAGAAGAGAAAGUUGAAUUUCAACAUUCACGAAUCAAUUUCAAUGUUUUUGGAUGUUUUUGCAACAAUUAUUAGGGAGAAUCUCUGCAUCUAUUGCUAUCCUCUUCUUUAAUUUUCUUAACAUUGAGAAACCAAACCUUGGUUUGAGUUUUCUUCCAUAUCUUUGCAUUCAUGGGUCUUACUAAUAUAGUUGAAAAGACUACAUUGUCCAUGCUGUGUUGGCACAAUUAACGGCUCUUUUUCACUUAUUUGAUGAAAGAGGGUAAAGUGAGACAUUGAAAAAGAGUGCAGGUGUUAAAGUGAGACAACAUAGAGUCUAAGUAGUAAAGUGGAAUAUAGAGAGAGUGUGUAAGUGAUAAAGUGAGUCAAUAUAGAGUACGUAGAGACUAAAGUGAAAUUUAGUGAAGAGUACUAGAAAAAUAAGCCUUAUUUUAAUGCCCUUUCCCUUAAGUCCUUGAUGGUUCAUAAUCCUAAUUCCAUAACCUCUAAGAAGACUAUUUAUUAAUUCCAUCUGGCAGUUUUAAGUUUCUAAUCAUUCUUUAAUUAUAUGUUUAGCACAGGUCAGAGCUGGUCUUAGUUCUAGGUUAAAGAUUGAAUUUGUCCCCUCUAUCUUAUAUUAUCUCUAUUAUAUUGGUUGAUAGGAAAUAAUAUUCAUUAGAUAAAUUUUAACGGUACAUUAAAGACGUUGACAAGUAAAAAAUAUUACAUAUAAAAGUAAUAAUCUCAAAAGUAAAACUUAAGGAGGAACAAAACCACAUAAGUGUAAUAGCAACUCCAGUGGAUAGGGGACCUCUUUAACCUAAUCCCUUCCCUUCCUUGCUCCAGCCCACGCGGGCGAUUGUGCUAAGGAGGGGUCCGUGUGAGAAGGGAUGCACAAGUCCAAGGCCUGAGUGCUUGAGGGCUCUCUGAUGCAAGGCUAACAUUAGGAUGACAUCAGCCAUGUUAUAAAAAAAUUUGCGUCAAGUGCGUACAUCGCACGCGCGCGUGGGGGUGUGUCAUAGACUAGAUUUCAGUCGGUGGGGCCCGCGGUUUGAAUUCGGAUAUGUUACUGUUUUGGAUGCCACGUGGCACCCUCAAGGCUGUUGGAUUUCAACGGAUUUUUUUUGGACCAUUGGAUUUCCAACGGUAAAAAAAAAAUUCAAACCUCCCCCAACGGCUGGAUGACGUGGCACAAUCUCAGCUAUUGGAUUUCAAAUCAACGGUCCACGUUAUUCG